Molecule: non-coding RNA, 38 nt
Filed under: human gut metagenome
Description: Selenocysteine insertion sequence 4
Rfam family: Selenocysteine insertion sequence 4
Source: RNAcentral
GGCACCUGCACGCGUUGCGGUGCAACGAUGGUCAAAGA